AAUAGCCGAAAGGCCGAACCAGCAACUUGGAAGAAUGUAUUAUAAACAUUUUUAUAUAAAGUUCUAAGUAAAAAAUAAAUGAUAAUGACAAAAAUUUACUUAUAAGUCUUGACCAAAUUACGUGCCAGCAGUCGCGGUAAUACGUAGAAGACAAGUGUUAUUCAUAUUUAUUGGGUUUAAAGGGUAACUAGAUAGAAUACUAAGCCAUAGUAGGAACUAAUAUUCUAGAGUUUAAAAUAAGAAAGCAGAACUUUAUGAAGAGUGUUUUAAUAUUAUGAAACAUAAAGGACUGGUAACGGCGUAGGCAACUUUCUAUAUAUAACUGACAUUGAGGUACGAAGCUCUAGGUAGCGAAAAGGAUUAGAUACCCUAAUAGUCUAGAGAGACAAUUAUGAAUGCCAUAGAAAUAAAAUUUUUAUAAAUGAAAGUGUAAGCAUUCCACCUUAAGACUAAGGCGGCAACGCACAAAAUGAAAUCAUUAGACCGUUUUUGAGACCAGUAGUGAAGUAUGUUAUUUAAUUCGAUGAUCCGCGAAUAACCUUACCAUAUUUUGAAUACUAUUUAAUUAGUACAAGCGUUGCAUGGCUGUUUUUAGUUAAUGUCGUGAGAUUUGACAAACAU
Molecule: ribosomal RNA, 621 nt
Filed under: Psoroglaena stigonemoides
Lineage: Eukaryota; Fungi; Ascomycota; Eurotiomycetes; Verrucariales; Verrucariaceae
Description: SSU rRNA
Rfam family: Bacterial small subunit ribosomal RNA
Source: RNAcentral